CCAGAUCUUUCAAGACCUUGAGAUAUACGGUACUGGAGCUGAGGUUCAAAUACUGCAAAUAUGUCAAUGGCUCGCAAGUUUUACUACAGCCCAGGGGUAUCUCUGGAGUUAUUCAAAAUGAUGGUCAACUAUAAGAUAAGGAGCAUGGCCAGAAUUAUAUACAUCUCCUGACUUCCUAGCUGUACCCUGGGAGGAUGAGAUACACAGACUGCUUCAUGUGAAGUGUCCUUGGUUUUUGGUUUCCAGUUGGGUUUGACAAAUGGACGGCAAUGGUAGGAGAGCUGAGGGUAGGAGGAGAGUAAGGUCAGGGCACUUACUUUCCCUCAAACAUUCUCCUCUCCUCAGCCAGGCUAUAGCUUGGGUAACGAUUGUGUUUUUCUACCUAUCAUGACAGCACCUAUCUAGUUGGCCCUCUCGAACAACUAUAGGUCUCACUUGGUUCUAGUAACCAUUCCUCUUGUGCUUUCAGGCCUACCAGUAGUAACAGCUUGCUACUAUUGCUAUGCUUGGGUAUCACACUAUCCUUUAUGGAUUCUUUAACUCUGCCCAUAACUCUAUAAAUAGUCUUGCCAUUAAACUAUCCCUAGUUAAACGAUCUGAGUAUGCCAUCUUUCUCCUGCUGUGAUCCUGAUCGUUACACCAAUGAUCAUGAAAGGCAGGAUCAUGAAAAUGAACAGAAUCAGAUUCAGAUUAUUUUAAUGAGAAAAAUGGAACUGUGGAAGAGAGCCAUCUGGAAGAUGCUAUACUUCUGGAGAUAUGCAGCUGUCAGAGAUGAGAUACAGAAAUAGGAAGGGAGCAGAUAAGAAAUACCCCAGCUUCCUUUUGCCCUCCAAUCUUCUGCCAGUGCCACCCAUUGAAAGAAAUAAUGAAAAUCAGCCAUGAAGGGAGACUGGGAAACGUAGUCUUCAGGAGUUAGUCUUUCAAGGCCCAAAGUAGGCAGAGAAUGGCUCAGGUUUGGGAGCAGAGAAAAUCCAGCACAGCCCCUAGUCCCUCUGAGAGGGCAAGGGCUUUUUGCCUGUUUUGUCCACAGCUAUAUUCCCAACACCUAUAGUAAUUGUUGGCAUAUGUAGGUGCUCGGUAAAUAUUUGUUGAAGGCAAUGGAAGUAUAGCUAUGAAGUAUUAAGGGGAAAAUUUUGUAAGUCAAGAAUUCUAUACUUAGAGAAAUUGCCUUUCAAAUGAGAAGGUACAAAAAGAUUCUUAAAUAUGCAAGGGCUCAGAAAAUAUAGCAGUCAUGGAUUCUUCUUGAAAGAAACUAUUUAGGACAUUCAGGUUAGCCGAGAGGUGAGUUAAAAAUAAGAGAGCAAUAGUGAAGCAGUUGUGGUUUAAAAAGUAUAAUAUUUAGUCUCUCUUUCUAAGAAUAUAUCCUAAGGAAAAAACACUGACAUACAAACAAAUAUUUGUGGACAAAAAUGUUUAUGGCAGAGACUACUACCUGUCUCCCAAUAUCUCUUUUCUCUUUCCUCCAUAGCAAUAGACCUGCCAGGGGCAUGGGUGCCCAGCUAUACUACAGUUUCAAGCUUCACUUUCUUGUGUAUGGCUGUAUGAUUAAGAAAUGCAAGCAAAAGUGUGUAUCUCUCCUGGGCCAGAUCCCUUAAGAGAUAGGCGUACCUCCACUCUGCUGUAUUUCCUUUUCCUGUGAUUCUAAGCAUGGAUGUUCAAGUGACAUCACUUGCAGCAGGGCUGGUAGAAGAAAAGACAGAAAUGAUUUUUAGCUUUCUUGGAUUGGGUUGCAACAUACUACUGGAAGAGCAAUCAGUCAAGGGAAAGAAAGAAAGGGCAUCCAAAUAGGAAGAGAGGAAAUCAAACUAUCCCUGUUUGCAGAUAACAUGCCUAUACCUAGAAAACCCCAUAGUCUCAGCCCUAAAACUUCUUAAGCUGAUAAACAGCUUCAGCAAAGUCUCAGGAUGCAAAACCAAUGUGCAAAAAUCACUAACAUUCCUAUACACCAUCAACUGUCAAGCCAAGAGCCAAAUUAGGAAUGAACUCCCAUUCACAAUUGCCACAAAAAUAAUUAAAUACUUAGGAAUACAAGUAACCAGAGAGGUGAAAGAUCUCUACAGGAGAACUACAAAACACUGCCCCCCAAAAAAAUCAGAGAUGACACAAACAAAUGGAAAAACAGUCCAUGCUCAUGGAGAGGAAAUGUCAACAUUGUUAAAAUGGCCAUACCGCCCAAAGCAGUUUAUAGAUUCAAGGCUAUUCCUGUUAAACUACCACUGACGUUCUUCACAGAACUAGAAAAAACUAUUUUAAAAUUCAUACGGAACCCCAAAAACAGCCAGAACAGUCAAAGUGAUCCUAAGCAAGAAGAACAUAGCUGGAGGUAUCACACUACUUGACUUCAAACUAUAGUACAGGGCUAUAGUAACCAAAACAUCAUGGUUCUGGAAAAAAAAAAACACAUAGACAAAUGGAACAGAAUAGAGAACUCAGAAAUAAGACUACACACCUACAACCAUCUGAUCUUUGACAAACCUGAGAAAAACAAGCAAUGG
RNAcentral lists this long non-coding RNA (2495 nucleotides) under Homo sapiens (human). RNAcentral's name for it is "HSALNT0284707". Lineage: Eukaryota; Metazoa; Chordata; Mammalia; Primates; Hominidae. The record is from RNAcentral.